AUUGAACGCUGGCGGCAUGCUUUACACAUGCAAGUCGGACGAGUGGCGAACGGGUGAGUAAUAUAUCGGAACGUACCGAGUAAUGGGGGAUAACUAAUCGAAACAUUAGCUAAUACCGCAUAUUAUUCGAGCGGCCGCUAUGUGAUUAGCUAGUUGGUGGGGUAACGGCCUACAAAGGCGACGAUCAUUAGCGGGUCUGAGAGGAUGAUCCGCCACACUGGAACUGAGACACGGCCCAGACUCCGACGGGAGGCAGCAGUGGGGAAUUUUGGACAAUGGGCGCAAGCCUGAUCCAGCCAUGCCGCGUGUAUGAAGAAGGCCUUCGGGUUGUAAAGGACUUUUGGCAGGGAAGCGGUACCUGAAGAAGAAGCACCGGCUAACUACGUGCCAGCAGCCGCGGUAAUUC
RNAcentral lists this ribosomal RNA (406 nucleotides) under uncultured bacterium. RNAcentral's name for it is "partial 16S ribosomal RNA". It matches the Rfam family "Bacterial small subunit ribosomal RNA", at positions 30 to 526 of the family's 1533-position model. The record is from RNAcentral.